Molecule: ribosomal RNA, 601 nt
Filed under: uncultured bacterium
Lineage: Bacteria
Description: bacterial SSU rRNA
Rfam family: Bacterial small subunit ribosomal RNA
Source: RNAcentral
ACCAAGGCGACGAUGGUUAGCUGGUCUGAGAGGAUGAUCAGCCACACUGGAACUGAGACACGGUCCAGACUCCUACGGGAGGCAGCAGUGAGGAAUAUUGCGCAAUGGGGGCAACCCUGACGCAGCAACGCCGCGUGAGUGAGGAAGGUUUUCGGACCGUAAAGCUCUGUCGAGCGGGAAGAAAUGCAUGGUGGCUAAUAUCCAUCAUGCUUGACGGUACCGCUAAAGGAAGCACCGGCUAACUCCGUGCCAGCAGCCGCGGUAAUACGGGGGGUGCGAGCGUUGUUCGGAAUUAUUGGGCGUAAAGAGCGUGUAGGCGGCCGAAUAAGUCAGAUGUGAAAUCCCUGGGCUUAACCCAGGACGUGCAUUUGAAACUAUUCGGCUAGAGUAGGGGAGAGGAAAGUGGAAUUCCUGGUGUAGAGGUGAAAUUCGUAGAUAUCAGGAGGAACACCGGUGGCGAAGGCGACUUUCUGGCCCUAUACUGACGCUGAGACGCGAGAGCGUGGGUAGCAAACAGGAUUAGAUACCCUGGUAGUCCACGCUGUAAACGAUGUUCACUAGGUGUUGGGGGUAUUGACCCUCUCAGUGCCGCAGCUAACGC